Molecule: non-coding RNA, 714 nt
Organism: Pimephales promelas (fathead minnow)
Lineage: Eukaryota; Metazoa; Chordata; Actinopteri; Cypriniformes; Leuciscidae
Source: RefSeq, a predicted model, not a curated record
GUUCAGAGACCUGGGUGGUGGCACUGAAAACACAGCUGGAGACAACAGAGAGCAGAACCUGUCGGAGAGAAUGCAGCUACAGUGAACUGAACAACAGUACUGUGCAAGACUUUACAGACCUAAUGUGAAAAAGAGAGAAGAUGCAACUACAUGAACAUGGAAGAAACUUUGAAAUGAAAGGAACAGUUCAACUUUGUCAUGUAAAAAUAAGACAUUUGGAACAUUUGACCUAUGUGUUGCAUAUGUAUAUUUUUUAGCUGAACAUCUUAAACCCAUAAACAUUUUUAUACUGCUCUUUUAAUAAUAUAAAGAUAACGUUUUAUACAUCGCCAUCUAUAGUUAUUCGACAUAAAUAUAUUCAAAUGAAAGCCUUUAUAUUAAUAAAAUGGUUUUUAAAAAGAAAUAAGGAAUGAUUUUACAGUGUUUGCAAAAAUCCUCUAUUGAUCUACAUCAGUGAUGAUGUCACAAUUUAGUGUCAUAAACUUGCCUUCAUGUCGUGCUGCCUUUAUAUAUUUGAUUGCCAUAAUUCAUCACAUCAAAAAACACAUCGAAAUAAUUAUUGUGCAUCUGUUUUUUUACAUUCCAGUUGGAAGGAUUCUCUUCUCCUUGAUAAAUUGAUAACUUUGUGAAUUGGUUUACAUUGUUCUUUUUUCAUUCCUUAAUUUUGUAAAUGGAAUUAUUUUCACCUGACUAAUAAAUGACUAGAUUUGAUUA